Non-coding RNA from Macaca mulatta (Rhesus monkey), 4869 nucleotides. The record is from RefSeq and is a predicted model, not a curated record. Lineage: Eukaryota; Metazoa; Chordata; Mammalia; Primates; Cercopithecidae.
AGAAAACUUAGGAAUAGAGAAUUGUGUGUGAAUUCUUCCAACUUUUAAAUAUUGGGUCACUUAAAAAAUGGGUAAUAAUUAGAAAGACGAAUCUGUCUGGGAACUAAAUGAGUCUCAUCCACAGGUCAGAUUUAGCUCACAGGUCAUCAGUUAGAGAUCUCUGCUCUGGCCCAACCCACCUGCUGUACAGAUGCAAGAACUCAGGUUCUGAAACAGGCCUGGAAAACCUCAGGUCACACAGUGAGUUACAGGCAAAGUCCAGACUCAAAUGCAGAUAGAUGCUCAUUUCACUGCUCUGUGCUACCCCACAGCUACUACCUCCCUCUGGAGGGCUAUUUAAAGAGAAGGGAUCGGAAUUUUUCCAUAACCCCACUACAGUACUAGCUUCUCUCAAGCUGAAUUUUCCCAAACUCUUCUUUUUACACAGAAGGACUCUGAAACCCAGAAAUUAAAACAAGAUGUGCUUUCUCCCCUAUUGUAAUGACAAGGCUAGGGCAGAACCCAGGCCUCCUGGUUCCCAGUCUAGCCUUGCUUUUACCAGUUCUCUAAGUACUCAAAGCACUCCCUGGGGCAAGGGCUAUAUUCAGCUUGCAGUGAAUUGCUGAAAUACUCUGUUCCUAAGCAUAUCCGACAAUCCAAAUUAUCAUACCCAGGACCAGCCCCAUAGGCUACAUCACCUUAAAUCUUCUCUCCACAGGGCCUGACUUGCCGGCCUGGCAGGUCGCUUCUCUUCUCUGAUGAAUGAUAAACACAACUGCAGCAGGCACGCAGCCCCACCAGCCAGUUCCGAUUUGUCUGCUAAUUGGAGCCUGGGCAAGGCUGGCAUGAUGCCGUCUGUCAGUCUGUUAGUGAGCAGUGUGGGAGAGAAGAGCACAGAACACAGAGUUCAGGAAACCAGACUUGGGAUUGUGGCUGACGAGCAGAUUGGCUUUGAGGAAAAGACGAAUCUCCCUAAGCCUCACUUGACUCAUCUGUGAAGUGGACAUUAUGAAGCUUGCCCCAUAGGUUUUGCCAAUGUCCAUAGUCAAAAAGGGGGUUGGAGCCUAAAGGGGGUGAAAUCUGAGGUCUUGGCUUAUAACCUUUAAAUGAUCCCCAUUACCUACGUGCUAAAGUCCAAAGUCAGUUCCAGGCAGGUGUGAUCUGACCCCAGCAUCCUGUCCCACCCUCCCUCCGUUCUACCUUCCUCCCCUCUCUUGAUAGAAACAACUGACAUUUACUGGAUGCUUACCCUGUGCCAGACGCUGUGCUAAGCACUUUAUGUUCAUUAACUCACAUCUUUCUCCCAACAUUCCUAUAGGAGGCACUGUUAUAACUUAACAACAAAAACCAGCUUGGGAAGCUGAAGGAACUGGCCCAAAGAUCCCCACUCGUGAAAGGAUUGAGAUUGGAACCAACUCCAGCUCUAGAGGUUGGCUCUGACAUUUUGUCAACUGAACUCCAUUCACGGCCAAAACUCCUCAGAAGUUUAAGAGGUCACCCUCCCAUGGGUAAAUAUUGGCAGGCCUUUUUCUGGAGAUGAUGGUGCUGAAAAAGUUUGCUGAUCCUUGGCAUAAGAGGAUGCAAACUCCAAACAGAAUAAUCCUCAGAGUCUAGGGUGAGAGUCUCAUUUUAGAUCUACAAAAGAAAGAACAGUGAUGUGUGAACCUAUAACACAAGCAGACAGAAGAUCAGUUGAGGGGUGACUCCCAUGGCCAGAGAAUUUAAAAGUUAUCGAAGAAAAUCAAGAAAUAAUUGAGGCCAACCCAUUUUAAGGAUGUGGACACUGGGACCCAGAAAAAGAACUGAUUUCCUGGGAAAAUAGAGCUGUUUGGUGGCAUCACUGGGAUUGUACCCGGAUCUCUGGGUUCCCGCCCUGAUGUGAGCCUGGACACUGGUCCACUCUAGUUGCUGACAGUGAGUAUUCAGGAAUCUAUCAGCUAUAAUCUGCCAUUCUCCUGGAAGCACAGAUGGACUGGCUAAUUGCCUUUGCCCUCUCUCUGGAGUUUGGAAGGCCUCUUUGCUCCAAGCUAGCGGACAGCUCUCCUGAGCCUGCAGGUUAUUAUGCCCCAUAUGCGGGUGUAACCCCAGAGGUGUAACCCAGGAGAAGUUGGGCAUCCAAUUGCUCCACAUCUGUCCAGAGCCCCAGGUACUUGGCAUGUCUCUGGCCCCCAGGGCACUGGUGCUCAGACACAGCAGGAACAUCUCCCUAGUGUCCCCACUGCCUUCCUAGAGGGCAUUCCUCCUUACUGUUGCCACCACCCUGUUUGGGGAGUUCGGUACUGUUUCCAUGCUCUGCCAUCCCCUUUUUAUAGAAAAUCACUGUCCACAUAAUGUUAGCUCCCCGCCCCUUGAAGUCAUAGCCCUACCUCACCCAUCCCUUUUGGAUUACCCAUUCCUUCCCCUAGAUCUUGACAGUAGCCUGGAACUCACUGGAUUUCACCUUCAGUUGUCAGUGUCCACCCUGAAGCCACUUCCUCUGGCCUGGUGUUCUUAUCAGCCUGCAAACAGUCAAAGCCAUUGAUCAAGAAAAUGCUCAGGCCCAGGCUUCCCCAAUGUUGAUUUUCUUGCCACUGGCCCUCUAAGCCCUCACAGCCUCCUCUCUGCUCUCCACUCCUGCCCUACCUGCCCCCCCAACCCCAGCCCUCCACAAUGCCAAAACUAUACAGACAAAGCCAAAGGCUGGCUCUUUCUUCAAGUACAGGUACUGAGGAAUUAAUUCUUUAGGAUGGCCUUUUACAAAAAAGAAGUCCAAGUUACCUGGUCAUAUAAACUUGGAAAAUACUGGUUAGACGGAAUGCAACAAGAUCCCUUACUGCAAGGUUGUCAGAGCCUUUACCACGCUGAUAUGCAAUGUGCCCCCUCCAAGCACAUCGUAUCGAAUAGUGUUUCCAACACGGGUUCGACUGUACCUAAAGAGCAGUGCUCUCUACAAAUACAUUUUAGGAAACAUUUAACCCUUUUCUGUACCUUAGUACUAACAAAUUUCAACACUGCCACUUAUUUGCUGUGUGACUUCAGGCGAGUUGUUUUGCCUCUCUGUGCCAGUGUUUACAUGAGUAAAAGCAAAUAAGGGCAAGAUAGGGGUUGGACAGGAUGCUCACUGAAGCCCCCACUGGCACUGGCAUUUUCCAGUUCCCCUGUCUGUAUUUUCUGACACGUGUCUGCCUCCAAACGCACAGACAGCAGAGAUGCUGUAGAUCGAUAACAGCAUGGCACUAACAAGACGUGCAUACAAUGAGACACAGUGGAUGACUUUGUGAGUGGCUGAGAUACUUUCUGGAGGUUGAAAAUCGUUUUUAUUUAGCCGACAUCACAUGUCCAUUAAUGGCACUCAGCAUCCCCAGGGAUUGAGCGUGGCUUGUAACUCAGUGACAGACAAGGGACUGUAAGGCUCAGGGAAUUUCACUGGGGAUUCAGAUGCCACCCAUGGUCCCUGCAGACCAGGCAGUGCUCAAAAGCAUGGAGGCAUCAGAGAUCCCAUUCUUAUCCAGGACACCACAUUGCCUGGGAGGCACCGCAUCGAUACUAAAACAACUAAGUUAGGGUAGAUGUGGUAAUAUCAGAGAGAGUUGUAGAGGGACGCUAGAAACACAUUCACAUACCGCAGGGAACACCAGGCAAGCUGAAUUGUGAGGUCCUUUCCAGCCCUGGGCUUCUGGGAUUCCCUUGGGUGCCUUUUGUGUGCAAUCUACUAGUCUAGAUAUAGAGGAGAAAACAAAUGUGAAGAAAACACACAUCUUACCGUUAAGAGGUAUAAUCCUUUAGACACGCUGGGAUAAAGGUGUUUUAUCAUCAGAUAAGUUUCAGAAUGUUGCCCACAUAUUCCCUGCCCCCUGGAAAUCCUCAGCAUACACUAUAUGUUAAAGGCUCUGAGAAGUCUGGGGUCAAGCUACGUAACUGGGGAAUCCAAGGUCACCCACAUCUAUUUGACCAUGCAACUCUUCUUUCUGAACCUCUCCUAACAGAUCAUAGAAUUAUUGUUUCCUACAAUGAGAAUCACAUGUCAGACCUGGAAAGGACCUGAUGGUAGCUUUUAGGCAGGUCCCACACCUCAGAUAAGGAGGAACCAUUCCAUUGUGAUGAUCUUGAGUGGGCCAGUGAAAACCCUCCCCUGGGACUUUCUGAACUGUCUCUGGAUCCUUGACUGAGACUCUCAGGGUGUGAUCCCAGAGUUGGCAGUUGCUGCCUUGGCCUGUCACAUCAUGAUGGUAUGGUAUGACUGAGCUGCUAUGCUGCUGUCAUACGUGGAAACCCCCUGCCCCUCUGUCCCUCACCCCCUUCAAAAAAGGAGGAGAGAAAAAAAGAGAAUGUGCCAGUCAAGUGUAUUCCUACUUACAGUUCCGAAGAUUUCUGCAGCUGCUGUGAUUAUUAUAGCUUUUCCUUCCUUUUUUAUUUUUUUUCUGCAUGUAGUCUCAGCCUCUUUCUAGGAAAUCCUUUUCCCCCUUUUCUUUCUUUCUUUCUUUCUUUUUUUUUUUUUAAAUUAAACCGUGUAAGUCAAAACUCUCUCUGUCACGAAUUAAAGAAAACUUACUCAAACUGACUUAUGCAAAAAGUUAACUUCUUGGAUCCUAUGACUUCAUAGUCUAGAAGGAGAGCUAGCUCUGGCCACGGCUGGAUACAGGUAUACCAACACCAUCAUCAGGACCUGGGUUCUUUCUCUCAGUCUCAGCAAUGCUUCCUCUCUGUGGUCUCCAUUCUCAGAAAGGCUUGCCCUUAUGGUGGCAGAAAUGGCGGCAGCUGCUCUAACUUCAGGUGCAAUCCAACAGAAAGUGGCCAAAGGCGUGGCAGGUGGUACCUGCAAAAGUUAUUACGUGUCACUCUGGUUGAACCAGCUUAGGUCUGCUGCCCAACAUAGAACCAGUCAGUAUCAUCAGGUGUUUUCAUUCUCCA